GACGAACGCUGGCGGCGUGCUUAACACAUGCAAGUCGAACGAAGUGGCGAACGGGUGAGUAAUACGUGAGUAACCUGCCCUCCUUUUUGGGAUAAGCCUUGGAAACGGGGUCUAAUACCGAAUAAAGGGGGAUGGGCUCGCGGCCUAUCAGCUGGGUGGUGGGGUAAUGGCCUACCAAGGCGGCGACGGGUAGCCGGCCUGAGAGGGUGGGCGGCGACAGUGGGACUGAGACACGGCCCAGACUACUACGGGAGGCAGCAGUGGGGAGUAUUGCACAAUGGGCGGAAGCCUGAUGUAGGGACGCCGCGUGGGGGAUGACGGCCUUCGGGUUGUAAACUCCUUUCACCAUCGACGCGGUAGAUGGAGAAGAAGCACCGGCUAACUACGUGCCAGCCGCCGCGGUAAUAC
RNAcentral lists this ribosomal RNA (408 nucleotides) under uncultured bacterium. RNAcentral's name for it is "partial 16S ribosomal RNA". It matches the Rfam family "Bacterial small subunit ribosomal RNA", at positions 28 to 526 of the family's 1533-position model. The record is from RNAcentral.